Portunus trituberculatus (swimming crab) is the source of this 635-nucleotide long non-coding RNA. RefSeq lists it as uncharacterized. The transcript is spliced from 4 exons. The record is from RefSeq and is a predicted model, not a curated record. NCBI's taxonomy places the organism in Eukaryota, Metazoa, Arthropoda, Malacostraca, Decapoda, Portunidae.
GCCAGUCCUUCUCAGUCUUUUGUGGCGGCAGGAGGUGGGCGGGUUAUAGCCCGACACUUUCACUACGUAUUAUUUUACGCCUUUGGUUGAACUGACACGGGAUUUUGUCUUUUUACAAUGCUACUGACAUUAAUUUCUACACUCAAAAGGUUCUGAUUAAAGUGACACGGGAUUUCACGUCUUUUUUAAGGUUCUAGUGACAAUAAGAAGACCUCUGGUGUUUCCACGCCUCCAAAUCAUCAUCUUACUGGACUAAAGUCACAAGACAUAACUACAGAAGCAGGACUACGUAAUCAAGUUUACGGGUGACCCCUCAGAAUAACAAAGACGUGCACUACGAUCAACUGAUGGGAGAGGAACGUGGGAAAGGAAGAGGAGGAGAGCAGAAGAAGGUCCCUUGGAGAGAGAAGAAAGCCAAAUAAAAACACAUCAGCCGUGUUCUUGCUACGUAUUCCCAUUUGCCAGUAGAGGCUGCUCAGCUGCUAAUAGUAUUGCCACCGCCACCGCCGCCGCCAGCAGCAGCUUCAGCAAGACUUAAGUGUCGUCCUCAGAUCUGACUCAGCGUACAAGAAGCAUGACAUCUCAGCAACGCACUCCAGGGAGCGGCCUUGAGAGCUGACGAAUGCGUGGGAUGG